Molecule: ribosomal RNA, 525 nt
Filed under: Triticum aestivum (bread wheat)
Lineage: Eukaryota; Viridiplantae; Streptophyta; Magnoliopsida; Poales; Poaceae
Description: partial small subunit ribosomal RNA
Source: RNAcentral
AUGUACCAUGAUCAUUUGAAUAGUCUUGCUUAUAAAUUUAUUGGCGUCAAAGUAGAGCUUCAGGUUUAUGUGAUUGGCGGGGAUGGAACAAUGAGAGGAGCAGUGGUGAUAUUCGAAGAGUUUAAACGGUGUUGUUUGAGGAUAUCCAUUACAGGGAUCCCAAAAAACUUGGACAAUGACAUCGAAAUCAUAGACAAGGCAUUUGGGUUUCAAACUGCAGUGGAGAGUGCUCAGGAAGGGGCAUGCUGUCAUUGUUGUUGCUCAAGGCGCUGGCAGGAGUUGAUUCCCCGGAUUGAUGACCAGAAGCGAGAGCAGGAUGAGUAUGGCAACAUGUUGUUCCUUAGCACAAAUCCGAAAUCAAAAGAGGUAAGAAAUCGCUUCGGUCGGCGGCUGAGGAAACGCCUCUGUCACCCAGCUGAGGAACCGAGAAAGAAAGAAGGAGAUAGAGAGUCUCCGCUGGAUCCGCCCCCUGCCGCUUCAUAUUCAGCUCCUCACGGGCCACAAGCAUCGCUCUGCGUGGGCUGA